UCCAGACUCCUACGGGAGGCAGCAGUGAGGAAUAUUGGUCAAUGGGCGAGAGCCUGAACCAGCCAAGUCGCGUGAAGGAUGACGGCCCUACGGGUUGUAAACUUCUUUUGUCAGGGAGCAAUUGGGUCCACGCGUGGGCUUAGCGAGAGUACCUGAAGAAAAAGCAUCGGCUAACUCCGUGCCAGCAGCCGCGGUAAUACGGAGGGUGCAAGCGUUACUCGGAAUCACUGGGCGUAAAGAGCGCGUAGGUGGGAUAGCAAGUCAGAUGUGAAAUCCUAUGGCUUAACCAUAGAACUGCAUUUGAAACUGUUAUUCUAGAGUAUGGGAGAGGUAGGUGGAAUUCUUGGUGUAGGGGUAAAAUCCGUAGAGAUCAAGAGGAAUACUCAUUGCGAAGGCGACCUGCUAGAACAUAACUGACGCUGAUGCGCGAAAGCGUGGGGAGCAAACAGGAUUAGAUACCCCAGUAAG
RNAcentral lists this ribosomal RNA (468 nucleotides) under uncultured bacterium. RNAcentral's name for it is "bacterial SSU rRNA". It matches the Rfam family "Bacterial small subunit ribosomal RNA", at positions 330 to 793 of the family's 1533-position model. The record is from RNAcentral.